This 377-nucleotide unclassified non-coding RNA is filed under the name uncultured delta proteobacterium. RNAcentral describes it as "contains 16S-23S intergenic spacer region". Lineage: Bacteria; Deltaproteobacteria. The record is from RNAcentral.
UCCGGUUUAACACCGGCGGUCUCCCUAGAGUACCCAACUGAAUGAUGGCAACUAAGGACAAGGGUUGCGCUCGUUAAGGGACUUAACCCGACAUCUCACGAUACGAGCUGACGACAGCCAUGCAGCACCUAUCACCCGGUGACCGAAGUCAAAGCCCUGUCUCCAGGGUUGUCCGGGGAUGUUAAGCCCAGGUAAGGUUCUUCGCGUUGCAUCGAAUUAAACCACAUGCUCCACCGCUUGUGCGGGCCCCCGUCAAUUCCUUUGAGUUUUAACCUUGCGGCCGUACUUCCCAGGCGGAACACUUAAUGCGUUAGCGGCGGCACUGUAGGGGUCAAUACCCACAACACCUAGUGUUCAUCGUUUACGGCGUGGACUAC